GAUCUAUGAUGUUAAAUAACGCAGCUAGUGAUGGAAGGGUUCAUCACGCCCAUCUGAUACUCAGAUGAUAAACAUGCGUUGCUGAGAUC
This is a non-coding RNA of Cucumis sativus (cucumber), 89 nucleotides long. The record is from Rfam. NCBI's taxonomy places the organism in Eukaryota, Viridiplantae, Streptophyta, Magnoliopsida, Cucurbitales, Cucurbitaceae.